This 68-nucleotide transfer RNA is filed under the name bovine gut metagenome. It matches the Rfam family "tRNA". From Rfam's summary of the family: Transfer RNA (tRNA) molecules are approximately 80 nucleotides in length. Their secondary structure includes four short double-helical elements and three loops (D, anti-codon, and T loops). The record is from RNAcentral.
UGAUGUAGCUCAGUAGGUAGAGCGCAUCCUUGGUAAGGAUGAGGUCGCCGGUUCGAAUCCGGCCAUCA